CAGCAGGCAAAGUGCACAGCGCAAAGGGCAAGCAUCGCAGCCAGAUGUGGCCAGGAUGUUGGAAUUAUUGGACAGGAAUUCAAAACAGCUGUGAUGAAUAUAUUAAGGGAUUUCAUGGGAAGACUGGACAAUAUGCAAGAAGAUAUGGGUGAGAGAGAUUGGGAAAUUCUAAGAAAGAAUCACCACAGAAAUCCCAGAAAUCAAAAGCCCUGUGAUGGAAAUGAAGAAUGCCUCUGAUGGUUCAUUAUCACACUGGGAUCUGGCUGAGGAAGAAUCAGUGGACUUGAAUAUAAAUCAAUAGAAACUUCCCUCACUGCAAAGCAAAGAGAAAAGAUGGAGCAGAACACACAAGAGAUGUGGAAUAACAGCAAAAGAAGUCUCUAUGUCAAAUGAGCCUCAAAAUAGUAUUCUGUGAAGAUUGUCACUCCAUCAGACAGCCAGAGUUGUCACUUGAAUACAGAUGAUCAAAUUAGCAAUUGGAUGACAAGGCUAUUGUUGAAGUGAGUCCUCUCAUCAUGGCCGGAGGGUGGAGAGAGCAGCUUUGACAGCACCGGCAAUGCAGCUGGUGUGUCCAUUUACCUGCACCCAUGCAGCAGCAGCUGGGCUACAAUUGUUCUCCGUUUUCCCUGGCGCUUUUCAGCAUCUCAGGCUCCUGGGCCAAGUGUGUGUUUGACUCUUUCACAAGGGGCCAUGGCUUCUGCAAGACAUCCUCAUCACCAAAGUCAGGGCAACAGGACUGGAUGCAGACCUCAGCCCAUCCACCUUGGGUUCCAUUUCAUGCGGCCGGGCUCAGCCUCCUGUGAUCUUCCCUCCUGACUGCCUAUCUGUGGACUUCAAGGCCCAGCAUCAGACCAGGAGACAACCUUGGAGAAACUGUUUAGCCAGCCUCCAAAACUGUGUAAGCCAACACACAGGUAGGUACACACACACUAAAGCACACAUCCACACACAGACAUGCACACACAUAUUUCUCUUGUGGUUCUGCUUCUCUGCUUGAACUCAACUGGUGCAGAUCAUGGCUGCAGAAGAAUAGCAUCCUGAGGUUGUUCUCUGAAUUAGCUCUGGGAUUUCUAAACUUGGUUCUCUAAUCUGACGAGAUUAAAGGCACUGACGAUCCUAUUUCCCAUGGUAGCACAUACACUGCUAGCAAGAGUUCCUUAAACUGCCCCCGUUAGACACCUGCAAUCAGGAAGGUAAAUCAUCAAAGGCGUGGCGGGCACGGCCACCACGAUGGACAGCACAUCCAGGGUAGAGAUGGGAGUGGUUUGUCUCACAGGAAGUUGGUGUGGGCUACUAAAUCAGAAGCUGCACAGUCCCCUCCCUAGGUUUUCACCUGAUCUGCAGAACAAAAGGCUUUAGGUUUAGUGACUAGAACUCUGAUUUCAGUCCCUCUAAGGAGUCUCAGAUUCUCACUGUAUUCCCAGACAGAAGCCAGUGCAUAGACCCAGAGUCCUUGGUCACAGGGAAAAUUGGGACAUGGAGCAGAUCCCCGCACACACUUCAUGCCAGCCCACACUGGCAGUUCCCAGGAGUUUGAGGAGUCAUGGUGAAGGGCACUCUGGCUAUCUGGGUCAGACGUGAAUCUAGCCGGGGCCAUUGAAGCUUCAUACGCACCCCAGAAUGGGCAGGCUGCUCCUUCCACAGCGCACAGCCCUGUGCUCGCUAAUGAGGGCUUGGCCGCCAGAUGUGAAGCCUACAAUGGCAAAUGCGGGGGGAGCCUGCUCUAUUGCCCAUGUAGGCCUGGCCUGACUAACAGGGGCCCUCUGCACUCAUCCGACGUCCCCUGACUUGUGAGCACUGCUGAGAGUGUUUAUGGACCUCCAGGACCAAGAGUCAUGUCAGCGUGAUGACCAAUGGCCCGGGAGGCUCUGCUUCUAUCUCCCUUGGGAGAACAGAGAGAAUUCAGCUCAAUCAGGGGAAGCAAUGUGCUAGAGAAGGUGAAAAAAAAGCAAACACAAUAAAAAGGCUUCUUAUAAACAUAAAGUACGUUUAUUAUAAAAUCCUUAAAAAUACUUAGAAUGUUUCUCCCAGGAGGUGGCACAAACAAGAACCAAGGAGUGACCAUGUGUCAGGCUCACACCUCACUCAUGCAAGUAUAUAAGGUACAAGAGGAUGCACAUCUGCACACUUCCCUCACUAACACACUCCUCUGACCUCUCCAUCUCCAACACCAGAACCAUGAGCUGCUGUGGCUGUUCCGGAGGCUGUGGCUCCAGCUGUGGGGGCU
Molecule: long non-coding RNA, 2227 nt
Organism: Chinchilla lanigera (long-tailed chinchilla)
Lineage: Eukaryota; Metazoa; Chordata; Mammalia; Rodentia; Chinchillidae
Exons: 3
Source: RefSeq, a predicted model, not a curated record